UAAACCUUAAUGAAAAUUGAAAAAAAAAGACUUUUUGUAGAUUUUUAAAAUCACAAAUGUAAUUUUUUUCAAACUUGUGUACGUCAUAUGCUUUUUAAUAACACAGCCACGUCUGAACUUCAUUGCUGUCAUGUGGUUUGGCUGGGCAUGUGGUUUUGUUGCAGCCAGCUCUGGUGAAAGUGAAUUUGGAGCUGCUGCAUGUAGUCUAUGGAGCAGGUGUCGUCCUGAAGUGUGCAAGCAUUACCUAAAGUGCAACAGCAAUUGAAGAAUUCUCGAAAUGGUCACAACUUCACCUCUGAUCUAAAUUUUGUCGGGUUAAAGAAUUUUCUGUUGCUUGGAUUCAAUCUAAAUUUCAACUCUAAAUUUGACUUGGUGGCAAUGGUAUGCAUCAGACUGCUGUGCACAGUCUAUAGAUCUGGUGUGUCAUCCUGAAACUUAUAAGCCAGACCUGAAGUGGAAUUGCAAAAAGACUUCUUGAAAUGGUUUAACAGCCAGGUAAAAUCUCUUCUUCAUUGCUGUCUCACAAGUCACAACAUAUGGUUUUUUGGUUUCGGCCAGCCGGGUCAAGACUGCAAGAUGUUGUCUAAUCAGGUUCUGCUGUUGCAUGGAGUCUGUGAUGCCGCUGGUGAUCUGACAAAUAUUGUUGUGCUUGUUUCUGAUAAGUGUGUUGUUUGAAGUAGUCUAUGAUGUAGACAAGUGCAUAUUAUCUUCUUUUCUGGGCUCCCUUCUGUUCUGUGACCCCGUUACCCUUUCCUAUGACUAAUCGCUCCCCAGCAAAUCUGGUCUCGCACUGCUCUCUUCUUUCCUUGUCCAGGUCAUCUCCCUGGGCACAGUCAAUCAAUGCAGUCUCCCCCUGUCUUGAUAGACUGAAUUUUGCAUGGAAAAUUCAACAUUGAUAAUAUUAAGUUAAAGAAGGUAAAAUUGAUAUUUGUGAUAAGGAAUGAUAAACAUGUACAGUACAUAAUAGUAUAAAUAAGAUUUAAACAGCUGCAUUUUCUU
Molecule: long non-coding RNA, 999 nt
Organism: Daphnia pulicaria
Lineage: Eukaryota; Metazoa; Arthropoda; Branchiopoda; Diplostraca; Daphniidae
Exons: 5
Source: RefSeq, a predicted model, not a curated record